UCUUUGACAAACUGCCGUUAUUAAGGGCAAAAAAGAGCAAACUAUCCCACUGCCUAAGAAAGAUAUGAAGUAUGGCGACAGACCACCUGGCUUAAUCAGGAGACCUUCAAUGAUCUGAAACUCAAAAAAGAAUCCUACAAAAAGUGGAAACUAAGUGAAAUUACAAAGGAUGAAUAUAAACAAACACCACAAGUAUGUAAGGACAAAAUUAGAAAGGCCAAGGCACAAAA
Long non-coding RNA from Dermochelys coriacea (leatherback sea turtle), 230 nucleotides. RefSeq lists it as uncharacterized. The record is from RefSeq and is a predicted model, not a curated record. NCBI's taxonomy places the organism in Eukaryota, Metazoa, Chordata, Testudines, Dermochelyidae. The transcript has 3 exons.